Molecule: long non-coding RNA, 767 nt
Organism: Spinacia oleracea (spinach)
Lineage: Eukaryota; Viridiplantae; Streptophyta; Magnoliopsida; Caryophyllales; Amaranthaceae
Exons: 3
Source: RefSeq, a predicted model, not a curated record
AACAAUUUACCUAACUAAACCGAAAUUAAAAUAAAAAAGCCAACGGGGCCCACCUUAAAAAGGAAGCAAAUGGGAAGAACAGCGAAAUUCUAGAAAAUUCCUUUCAGACAAAGACGGUGGAAUCUUCAACACAAAGUCUAUAUCAUCAUCAUCAACAUCUUCAAAUUACCGUCAUUCUCUGCAAAUUUUCAACAUCUUAAGAAAAGGUCUAUUCUAGUGUUUGUGAAGACAACUAAUUGAUUUAUCAUUAACAGGAAGAUAAACAGACUGUGUAUGGCUGAAAUCUCAUCACUUGACAAGAAGGUUUCUUUAGAUCUGGCCAGGGAAUUGCUCAUUGCAAUUUCCGAGUCUCUACCAGAAAAUCUUCUCAAUCCCGAGUCUCUACCGGAUAAAAGUCUCAGUCCCAAGUCUAUCGAGGAACCUACAAAUGAUCAUGAGAUUGCUUCAAUGAAAAGUGCUGAUAAAGACGAAGAGCUUAGGUCGGAACUGAUCUCGAUCUCGUAUCUACCGUCACCGGACAAAGUUUCACUUCCAGCAAAUGGUCAUCUGUGAAUGAUAUUGACAUGAUGUGAAUCAUAUCUUGUAGAAAAAAAUCUCCUUUUAAAGUUUAUUAUGUACUUAGUACUACUACCUAAGCACUCUUUGACCAAGUCUUGGAAGUGACAUCAAUAUUAGACAUGUAAAUUGGGUGUAAUUGCGUGGUUUUGGAUGGUUUGUGUGAUAUGAUAAGAUUGUUACAGGAAAAUAUGCUAUGAUUUUGCUUCUCA